Molecule: ribosomal RNA, 340 nt
Filed under: uncultured eukaryote
Lineage: Eukaryota
Description: bacterial SSU rRNA
Rfam family: Eukaryotic small subunit ribosomal RNA
Source: RNAcentral
AGUCAUAUGCUUGUCUCAAAGAUUAAGCCAUGCAUGUCUAAGUAUAAACAACUUUAUACUGUGAAACUGCGAACGGCUCAUUAUAUCAGCAAUAAUUUAUUUGAUGGUACCUUACUACAUGGAUAACUGUGGUAAUUCUACAGCUAAUACAUGCAUCAAAACCCAACUUCGCAGAAGGGUUGUGUUUAUUAGAUACAGAACCAACCCAGGCUCCGCCUGGUUUCCUGGUGACUCAUAAUAACUAUAUGAAUCGUAUGGCAUCUGCCGACGAUGCAUCAUUCAAGUUUCUGACCUAUCAGCUUCCGACGGUAGGGUAUUGGCCUACCGUGGCAAUGAUGGG